RNAcentral lists this ribosomal RNA (511 nucleotides) under Anabaena sp. WA113. RNAcentral describes it as "bacterial LSU rRNA". It matches the Rfam family "Bacterial large subunit ribosomal RNA", at positions 1575 to 2094 of the family's 2925-position model. The record is from RNAcentral. Lineage: Bacteria; Bacillati; Cyanobacteriota; Cyanophyceae; Nostocales; Nostocaceae.
GUUUACGAACUCCGAGUGGUGAAGGAAAGUGCCAAGAAAAGCUGUGUAUGUGAUGAAGAUAGAACACCCGUACCCGAAACCGACACAGGUAGGGAGGUUGAGAAUACCAAGGGGCGCGAGAUAACUCUCUCUAAGGAACUCGGCAAAAUGGCCCCGUAACUUCGGAAGAAGGGGUGCCCACUGAAUAAGUGGGUCGCAGUGAAGAGAUCCAAGCGACUGUUUACCAAAAACACAGGUCUCCGCCAACUCGCAAGAGGACGUAUGGGGGCUGACGCCUGCCCAGUGCCGGAAGGUUAAGGAAGCCGGUCAGCGAAAGUGAAGCUGGCGACUGAAGCCCCGGUGAACGGCGGCCGUAACUAUAACGGUCCUAAGGUAGCGAAAUUCCUUGUCGGGUAAGUUCCGACCCGCACGAAAGGCGUAACGAUUUGGAUGGUGUCUCAGAGAGAGACUCGGCGAAAUAGGAAUGUCUGUGAAGAUACGGACUGCCUGCACCUGGACAGAAAGACCCUAU